This is a long non-coding RNA of Mobula hypostoma (lesser devil ray), 2870 nucleotides long. RefSeq lists it as uncharacterized. NCBI's taxonomy places the organism in Eukaryota, Metazoa, Chordata, Chondrichthyes, Myliobatiformes, Myliobatidae. The record is from RefSeq and is a predicted model, not a curated record. The transcript has 3 exons.
CUUUCAACUCGACUCCUCAUCUUUUUUUCUCUAGUCCUGCUGAAGCGUUUCGGCCCAAAACAUCGACUGUACUCUUUUCCAUAGGUGCUGCCUGGCCUGCUGAGUUCCUCCAGUAUUUUUGGAAGGGAAAUACGUGUCAGUUAUCAAGUAUUCACCUGAGUGGAGAACCUCCCAUCUUUCACUCCUACCCUGAGGUAUCUCAUCUGCCGGAAUGAACUGGACAUCAGCCAGGCAUGUUGUACUGUGGAAGGUAAGGGGUGAAGAUGUUACGCUUUCAAGGCAGGGCACUGCAAGGAAGCUGGAGAUAACUCCCUCCGACGUCACUUAUUCUGGCCUCACUUCAUCCCUUCCACUAAGAAACUGAAACCAGAGCCUGCGGGAACAAAGUCCUGCCGUCAACAGCAGGUGCCAUUUCGUUGGCUCUUCACUCAACCCUGGGACAUCUGAACAAUGAAGAUACAUACAUCAAGAUGUGCUUUAUUGACUACAGCUCUGCAAUCAACGCUAUCGUCUCCUCAAAGCUAAUCAAUAAAUUCCAAGACCUUGGCCUCCAUACCUCCAAGUGGUACCGGAUCCUCGAUUUCCUCACUUGCAGACCUCAGUCAGUUCUGAUUGGCAACAAGAGCUUGUAACAGGAUUUGGACCAGCCAGAAAAUGGGCUGAGAUAUGGCAGAUGGAAUUUAAUGCAGGUAGGUGUAAGGUGUUACACUUUGGUAAGACCAACCAAAAGUAGCUCUUAAACAGUGAAAGCUAGGGCACUGAGGAGUGCUGUAGAACAAAGGGAUCUGGGAAUACAGGUCCACAAUUCAUUGUUAGUGAUAGGUAGAUCAGGUUGUAAAGAAAAUUUUUGGCUCAUUGGCCUUCAGAAAUCAAAAUAUUGAGUAUAGGAGAUGGGAUAAUGGGAUAUUAUGUUGAGGUUGUAUAAGAUAUUGGUGAGGCCUAAUUUGGAAUAUUGUGUGCUGCUUUGGUCACCUACCUGCAUGAAAGAUGAAUGGAGAAAACUUUCAAGGAUGUUGCUUGGAACGGAGGACCUGAAUAGGUUAGGACUUUAUUCCUUAGAAGAUAGAAGAUGUACAGAGGCGUACAGAAUUAUGAGGAGUAUAGAUCGGGUAAAUGCAAGCAGGAUUUUCCACUGAGGUUGGAUGAGUCUACAACUAGAGGUCAGGGGUUAAGGGUGAAAACGAAAAACUUAAGGAGAACAUGAAGGGCAACAUCUUCACUCAGAGGGUCGUGAAAGUGCAGAGCAAGCUGCCAGCAAGUGGUGCAUGUAAGUUCAAUUUCAAUGUUUUAAGAAAAGUCUGGAUGGGUACAUGGAUGAUAGGGGUAUGGAAAGCUAUGGCCCCAGUGUAGGUCGAUGGGAGCAGGCAGCUUAAGUGGACUAUAUGGUCUGCAGGACCUGCUUCUGUGCUGUACUCUUCUAUGACUUUCAUAUCUCCUCCACAACCACCACUGGCACAUUGCACCACAAGGUUGUGUGCUUAGCCCCCUGCUCUACAGGGGCACAAUUGAGAGCAUCCUGACUGGCUGCAUCACUGCCUGCUGUGGGAGCUGUACCUCCCUUAAUCGCAGGAUUCUGCAGAGAGUGGUGCAGACAGCCCAGGGCGUCUGUCUGUAGUUGUGGACUUCCCAUGAUUCAGGACAUUUACAAAGACAGGUGUGAGAAAAGAGCCCGAAGGAUCACUGGGGACCAGAGUCACCCCAACCACAAACUGUUCCAGCUGCUACCAUCCGGGAAAUGGUAUUGCAGCUUAAAAGGCAGGACUAAAAGGCUCUGGGACAGCUUCUUCCAUCAGGUCAUCAGACUGAUUAACACUGAUUUGAGUGUAUUUCUAUGUUACCUUAACUGUUCUAAUUAUUAUAAAUUACUAUGAUUGCACAUCGCACAUUUAGACGGAGACGUAACGUAAAGAUUUUUACUCCUCAUGUAUGUGAAGGAUGUAAAAAAUAAAGUCAAUUCAAUUCUUCUACCAUGACUGCGAGGCUAAGCACAGUUCCAAUGCCAUAUUUAAGUUUGCUGGUGACAUGCCACUGUUAUCUGAAUCAGUUGGUGACGAAUCAGCAUAUAGGAUGCAGAUUGAAAGUUUGGCUAAAUGGUGCCACAAUAACAACCUCUCAUUCAACAUCAUCGAAAGGUACGGGAGCCUUAGGUCCUACCCCAACGAGUUCAGGACCAGUUAUUACCCCUACCCCAUCAGUCUCCUGAACCACAGUGGAUAACUUCACUCACCUCAACUCUGAACUGAUUCUGUAUCUUACGGACUCUACAACUUAGGUUCUCAAUAUUUAUUACUUUAUUUUUAAUAUUAUUUAGUUUUUUUCCCCUUUUUUUUGUAUUUGCAGAAUUUAUUGCCUUUUUUUGCACAUUGGCUGUUUAUUAGUCUGUAUGCAAUUUUUCAUUGAUUCUCUGAACUUCUUUGUUCUACUGUGAAUGCUUGCAAGAAAAUGAAUCUCUGGGUUGUAUACGGUGAUGUAUAUGUACUUUGAAAAUAAAUUUACUUUCAACCUUGAAUUUUUUAAUGCUGCCUGUUCCUCCAGCAUGUUGUGUGUAUUACACCGGAUUCCAGCAUCUGCAGAACCUCUUGAGGUUUCUUAUGGUCUCCAGUACUUGAUUCCACAACCAUGGAAAAAAGACGGUGAGCAUUCACCCUAACUAUGCCUUCCAUCAUUUUAUAAAUCUCACUAAAAUCUCUCCUUAGUCUCCUGCACUCCAAUGAAUAAAGUCCUGGCCUGUUCAACCCACUCCCUUGAGUCCUGGAAAAAUGAUCAUCAAUCUCCUUUGCAUUCUUUCAAGCUGAAUGACACCAUUCCGACAACAGGGUGACCAAACUGAUCAUAAUAUUCCAAAAGUGGUCUCACCAAUAUCUUGUACA